AAACUUUUAAAAGUAUGACUUCUAAUUAUACAAAAGUAUAUGUUACUAAAGUUUU
This 55-nucleotide transfer RNA is filed under the name Bemisia tabaci. RNAcentral's name for it is "tRNA-Ser". Lineage: Eukaryota; Metazoa; Arthropoda; Insecta; Hemiptera; Aleyrodidae. The record is from RNAcentral.